RNAcentral lists this ribosomal RNA (281 nucleotides) under uncultured Staphylococcus sp. RNAcentral describes it as "partial 16S ribosomal RNA". It matches the Rfam family "Bacterial small subunit ribosomal RNA", at positions 81 to 354 of the family's 1533-position model. The record is from RNAcentral. Lineage: Bacteria; Bacillati; Bacillota; Bacilli; Caryophanales; Staphylococcaceae.
CUCCUUUGACGUUAGCGGCGGACGGGUGAGUAACACGUGGGUAACCUACCUAUAAGACUGGGAUAACUUCGGGAAACCGGAGCUAAUACCGGAUAAUAUUUCGAACCGCAUGGUUCGAUAGUGAAAGGUGGUUUUGCUACCACUUAUAGAUGGACCCGCGCCGUAUUAGCUAGUUGGUAAGGUAACGGCUUACCAAGGCGACGAUACGUAGCCGACCUGAGAGGGUGAUCGGCCACACUGGAACUGAGACACGGUCCAGACUCCUACGGGAGGCAGCAGAC